Molecule: ribosomal RNA, 790 nt
Filed under: Propionibacteriaceae bacterium I26
Lineage: Bacteria; Bacillati; Actinomycetota; Actinomycetes; Propionibacteriales; Propionibacteriaceae
Description: bacterial SSU rRNA
Rfam family: Bacterial small subunit ribosomal RNA
Source: RNAcentral
AGGCCUCUUCGGGGGUACACGAGCGGCGAACGGGUGAGUAACACGUGAGCAAUCUGCCCUUCACUCGCGGAUAACUACCGGAAACGGNGGCUAAUACGUGAUGCGACCGCUUCCUGCAUGGGAUGGUGGUGGAAAGUUUUGGCGGNGGGGGAUGAGCUCGCGGCCUAUCAGCUUGUUGGUGAGGUAAUGGCUUACCAAGGCUUCGACGGGUAGCCGGCCUGAGAGGGUGACCGGCCACACUGGGACUGAGACACGGCCCAGACUCCUACGGGAGGCAGCAGUGGGGAAUAUUGGACAAUGGGCGAAAGCCUGAUCCAGCAACGCCGCGUGAGGGAUGACGGCCUUCGGGUUGUAAACCUCUUUCAGUACCGACGAAGCGCAAGUGACGGUAGGUACAGAAGAAGCACCGGCCAACUACGUGCCAGCAGCCGCGGUAAUACGUAGGGUGCGAGCGUUGUCCGGAAUUAUUGGGCGUAAAGGGCUCGUAGGCGGUUUGUCACGUCGGGAGUGAAAACUCGGGGCUUAACUCCGAGCCUGCUUCCGAUACGGGCUGACUAGAGGUAUGCAGGGGAGAACGGAAUUCCUGGUGUAGCGGUGAAAUGCGCANAUAUCAGGAGGAACACCGGUGGCGAAGGCGGUUCUCUGGGCAUUACCUGACGCUGAGGAGCGAAAGUGUGGGGAGCGAACAGGAUUANAUACCCUGGUAGUCCACACCGUAAACGUUGGGCGCUAGGUGUGGGGCUCAUUCCACGAGUUCCGUGCCGCANCUAACGCAUUAAGCGCCCCGCCU